This 254-nucleotide ribosomal RNA is filed under the name uncultured bacterium. RNAcentral's name for it is "partial 16S ribosomal RNA". It matches the Rfam family "Bacterial small subunit ribosomal RNA", at positions 526 to 779 of the family's 1533-position model. The record is from RNAcentral.
CGUAGGGUGCGAGCGUUGUCCGGAAUUAUUGGGCGUAAAGGGCUCGUAGGCGGUUUGUCGCGUCGGGAGUGAAACCAGGUGCUUAACACCUGGCUUGCUUUCGAUACGGGCAGACUAGAGGUAUUCAGGGGAGAACGGAAUUCCUGGUGUAGCGGUGAAAUGCGCAGAUAUCAGGAGGAACACCGGUGGCGAAGGCGGUUCUCUGGGAAUGACCUGACGCUGAGGAGCGAAAGUGUGGGGGAGCGAACAGGAUU